AAAUUGAAGAGUUUGAUCAUGGCUCAGAUUGAACGCUGGCGGCAGGCCUAACACAUGCAAGUCGAACGGUAACAGGAAGCAGCUUGCUGCUUUGCUGACGAGUGGCGGACGGGUGAGUAAUGUCUGGGAAACUGCCUGAUGGAGGGGGAUAACUACUGGAAACGGUGGCUAAUACCGCAUAACGUCGCAAGACCAAAGAGGGGGACCUUCGGGCCUCUUGCCAUCAGAUGUGCCCAGAUGGGAUUAGCUUGUUGGUGAGGUAACGGCUCACCAAGGCGACGAUCCCUAGCUGGUCUGAGAGGAUGACCAGCCACACUGGAACUGAGACACGGUCCAGACUCCUACGGGAGGCAGCAGUGGGGAAUAUUGCACAAUGGGCGCAAGCCUGAUGCAGCCAUGCCGCGUGUAUGAAGAAGGCCUUCGGGUUGUAAAGUACUUUCAGCGGGGAGGAAGGUGUUGUGGUUAAUAACCGCAGCAAUUGACGUUACCCGCAGAAGAAGCACCGGCUAACUCCGUGCCAGCAGCCGCGGUAAUACGGAGGGUGCAAGCGUUAAUCGGAAUUACUGGGCGUAAAGCGCACGCAGGCGGUCUGUCAAGUCGGAUGUGAAAUCCCCGGGCUCAACCUGGGAACUGCAUUCGAAACUGGCAGGCUUGAGUCUUGUAGAGGGGGGUAGAAUUCCAGGUGUAGCGGUGAAAUGCGUAGAGAUCUGGAGGAAUACCGGUGGCGAAGGCGGCCCCCUGGACAAAGACUGACGCUCAGGUGCGAAAGCGUGGGGAGCAAACAGGAUUAGAUACCCUGGUAGUCCACGCCGUAAACGAUGUCUACUUGGAGGUUGUGCCCUUGAGGCGUGGCUUCCGGAGCUAACGCGUUAAGUAGACCGCCUGGGGAGUACGGCCGCAAGGUUAAAACUCAAAUGAAUUGACGGGGGCCCGCACAAGCGGUGGAGCAUGUGGUUUAAUUCGAUGCAACGCGAAGAACCUUACCUGGUCUUGACAUCCACGGAAGUUUCCAGAGAUGGAUUGGUGCCUUCGGGAACCGUGAGACAGGUGCUGCAUGGCUGUCGUCAGCUCGUGUUGUGAAAUGUUGGGUUAAGUCCCGCAACGAGCGCAACCCUUAUCCUUUGUUGCCAGCGAUUCGGUCGGGAACUCAAAGGAGACUGCCAGUGAUAAACUGGAGGAAGGUGGGGAUGACGUCAAGUCAUCAUGGCCCUUACGACCAGGGCUACACACGUGCUACAAUGGCGCAUACAAAGAGAAGCGACCUCGCGAGAGCAAGCGGACCUCAUAAAGUGCGUCGUAGUCCGGAUUGGAGUCUGCAACUCGACUCCAUGAAGUCGGAAUCGCUAGUAAUCGUGGAUCAGAAUGCCACGGUGAAUACGUUCCCGGGCCUUGUACACACCGCCCGUCACACCAUGGGAGUGGGUUGCAAAAGAAGUAGGUAGCUUAACCUUCGGGAGGGCGCUUACCACUUUGUGAUUCAUGACUGGGGUGAAGUCGUAACAAGGUAACCGUAGGGGAACCUGCGGUUGGAUCACCUCCUUACCUGAAAGAAGC
This 1554-nucleotide ribosomal RNA is filed under the name Salmonella enterica subsp. enterica serovar Montevideo str. LQC 10. Its description in RNAcentral is "bacterial SSU rRNA". It matches the Rfam family "Bacterial small subunit ribosomal RNA". The record is from RNAcentral. Lineage: Bacteria; Pseudomonadati; Pseudomonadota; Gammaproteobacteria; Enterobacterales; Enterobacteriaceae.